GAUGCCAUGGAUACUUAGGUUUUCAGGACGAAACCAACCCAGGGAGGGUGGUGUUCUACAGGAUGUAAGACACCGCAAGGCGGGUAAAGGAAGAACCAGCCUGCUCUGACAAAGAGUGAAUAACACCUCCGCAGGAGGGAAAAUUGCUGUAGCGGAUGUAUAGCGCCUCAUUGGACCGGAUCGCAGUCAGGAUGACCUUGCUGAUACUGAAUAAGUCCACUGAAUUGCAGGGAGCAAGAAUGUAGCCGGAUUGCUGCGAACAGACUGGGAGUACUGUUUUUUACAGUACUCCCUUUUUUAUCC
Molecule: non-coding RNA, 303 nt
Filed under: Tatumella morbirosei
Lineage: Bacteria; Pseudomonadati; Pseudomonadota; Gammaproteobacteria; Enterobacterales; Erwiniaceae
Source: RNAcentral